This 821-nucleotide ribosomal RNA is filed under the name uncultured bacterium. RNAcentral's name for it is "bacterial SSU rRNA". It matches the Rfam family "Bacterial small subunit ribosomal RNA", at positions 109 to 906 of the family's 1533-position model. The record is from RNAcentral.
AGUAACACGUAAGUAACCUUCCUCUAAAUCUGGAAUAACCUUGCCAACGCGAGGCUAAUACCGGAUGUGGUCAUGAUUUCUCAUGAAGUUAUGAUCAAAGAUGACCUCUAUUUAUAAGUUAUCGUUUAGAGAUGGACUUGCGCCUCAUUAGCUAGUUGGUAGGGUAACGGCCUACCAAGGCUUUGAUGGGUAGCCGGCCUGAGAGGGUGUACGGCCACAUUGGGACUGAGAUACGGCCCAGACUCCUACGGGAGGCAGCAGUAGGGAAUUUUGCGCAAUGGACGAAAGUCUGACGCAGCAACGCCGCGUGAGUGAUGAAGGUCUUCGGAUUGUAAAGCUCUGUUGAGUGGGAAGAAAAGCUUCGAGAAUAACACCUCGAGGCCUGACGGUACCACUUGAGGAAGCCCCGGCUAACUACGUGCCAGCAGCCGCGGUAAUACGUAGGGGGCAAGCGUUGUUCGGAAUCACUGGGCGUAAAGGGAGCGUAGGCGGAGAAAUAAGUUAGGAGUUUAAUAUACGGGCUUAACCCGUAAUCUGCUCCUAAUACUGUUUUUCUUGAGUAUGGGAGAGGGAGAUGGAAUUCCAGGUGUAGCGGUGGAAUGCGUAGAUAUCUGGAAGAACACCAGCUGCGAAGGCGGUCUCCUGGCCCAAUACUGACGCUGAGGCUCGAAAGCUAGGGGAGCAAACAGGAUUAGAUACCCUGGUAGUCCUAGCCGUAAACGAUGGACACUAGAUGCUGGAGGAGUCAAUCCUUUCGGUGUCGUAGCUAACGCGUUAAGUGUCCCGCCUGGGGAGUACGCUCGCAAGGGUGAAACUCAAAG